UACGUAGGCAGCAAGCGUUGUUCGGAGUUACUGGGCGUAAAGGGUGUGUAGGCGGUUCUCUAAGGUUGGUGGGAAAUCUCCCGGCUCAACUGGGAGGGUGCGCCGAAAACUGGAGAGCUAGAGUACUGGAUGGGAGAGUGGAAUUCCUGGUGUAGCGGUGAAAUGCGUAGAUAUCAGGAGGAACACCGGUGGUGUAGACGGCUCUCUGGACAGUAACUGACGCUGAGACACGAAAGCGUGGGUAGCAAACAGG
Molecule: ribosomal RNA, 253 nt
Filed under: uncultured bacterium
Lineage: Bacteria
Description: partial 16S ribosomal RNA
Rfam family: Bacterial small subunit ribosomal RNA
Source: RNAcentral